CGUAAUCCGUUUAACCAUUGUUU
This 23-nucleotide non-coding RNA is filed under the name Arabidopsis thaliana (thale cress). The record is from RNAcentral. Lineage: Eukaryota; Viridiplantae; Streptophyta; Magnoliopsida; Brassicales; Brassicaceae.